This 497-nucleotide ribosomal RNA is filed under the name uncultured bacterium. RNAcentral's name for it is "partial 16S ribosomal RNA". It matches the Rfam family "Bacterial small subunit ribosomal RNA", at positions 28 to 507 of the family's 1533-position model. The record is from RNAcentral.
GAUGAACGCUGGCGGCGUGCCUAAUACAUGCAAGUCGAACGAACAGACGAGGUUCUUGCUCCUGUGACGUGAGCAACGGACGGGUGAGUAACACGUGGGUAACCAACCUAUAGGGAUGAGAUAGCUUCGGGAAACCGAAGCUAAGAUCGGAUAAUAUUGGGAACCGCAUGGUUCGAUAGUGAAAGAUGGCUCUGCUAUCACUUAAAGAUGGACCUGCGCCGUAUUAGCUAGUUGGUAAGGUAACGGCUUACCAAGGCAACGAUCCGUAGCCGACCUGAGAGGGUGACCGGCCACACUGGAACUGAGACACGGUCCAGACUCCUACGGGAGGCAGCAGUAGGGAAUUUUCCGCAAUGGGCGAAAGCCUGACGGAGCAACGCCGCGUGAGCGAUGAAGGUCUUCGGAUCGUAAAGCACUGUUAGCAGGGAAGAACCAUCGCGUACGUAAAUGUCCUGGUCUUGACGGUACCUACUCAGAAAGCCCCGGCUAACUACGUG